RNAcentral lists this small nucleolar RNA (106 nucleotides) under Acidomyces richmondensis BFW. Its description in RNAcentral is "A. fumigatus snoRNA Afu_304". It matches the Rfam family "A. fumigatus snoRNA Afu_304". Lineage: Eukaryota; Fungi; Ascomycota; Dothideomycetes; Mycosphaerellales; Teratosphaeriaceae. The record is from Rfam by way of RNAcentral.
UUUUAUGAUGAACAAGAGGUUCAACCUCUAUAAUCCCAGCUCUUCGAAACCGCCUCACCCUUACCAACGCUAAGAGGUGUUAUGAGAACACGUCCCAUCUGAAAAU